AUUGAACGCUGGCGGCAUGCCUUACACAUGCAAGUCGAACGGCAGCACGGGAGCAAUCCUGGUGGCGAGUGGCGAACGGGUGAGUAAUACAUCGGAACGUGCCCAAUCGUGGGGGAUAACGCAGCGAAAGCUGUGCUAAUACCGCAUACGAUCUACGGAUGAAAGCAGGGGAUCGCAAGACCUUGCGCGAAUGGAGCGGCCGAUGGCAGAUUAGGUAGUUGGUGAGGUAAAGGCUCACCAAGCCGUCGAUCUGUAGCUGGUCUGAGAGGACGACCAGCCACACUGGGACUGAGACACGGCCCAGACUCCUACGGGAGGCAGCAGUGGGGAAUUUUGGACAAUGGGCGAAAGCCUGAUCCAGCCAUGCCGCGUGCAGGAUGAAGGCCUUCGGGUUGUAAACUGCUUUUGUACGGAACGAAACGGCCUUUUCUAAUAAAGAGGGCUAAUGACGGUACCGUAAGAAUAAGCACCGGCUAACUACGUGCCAGCAGCCGCGGUAAUACGUAGGGUGCAAGCGUUAAUCGGAAUUACUGGGCGUAAAGCGUGCGCAGGCGGUUAUGUAAGACAGUUGUGAAAUCCCCGGGCUCAACCUGGGAACUGCAUCUGUGACUGCAUAGCUAGAGUACGGUAGAGGGGGAUGGAAUUCCGCGUGUAGCAGUGAAAUGCGUAGAUAUGCGGAGGAACACCGAUGGCGAAGGCAAUCCCCUGGACCUGUACUGACGCUCAUGCACGAAAGCAUGGGGAGCAAACAGG
RNAcentral lists this ribosomal RNA (753 nucleotides) under uncultured Comamonadaceae bacterium. RNAcentral describes it as "bacterial SSU rRNA". It matches the Rfam family "Bacterial small subunit ribosomal RNA", at positions 28 to 776 of the family's 1533-position model. The record is from RNAcentral. Lineage: Bacteria; Pseudomonadati; Pseudomonadota; Betaproteobacteria; Burkholderiales; Comamonadaceae.